UGCGCCCUUCAGGGGAAAAAUUUAUCGGAGUUGCAUGAGCCCAUGUCUGAUUAACUAGUUGGUGGGGUAAUGGCCUACCAAGGGGACGAUCAGUACCUGGUCUGAUAGGAUGAUCAGCCACACUGGAACUGAGACACGGCCCAGACUCCUACGUGACGCUCAGUGCUGAAUAUUGGACAAUGGGGGCAACCCUGAUCCAGCCAUGCGGGCGAGUGAUGAAGGCCCUAGGGUUGUGAGGCUCUUUCACCGGUGGAGAUAAUGAUGAUACCCGCAUAAGAAGCCCCUGCUAACUUCCCGCCGCCAGCCGCGGUCUUACGAAGGGGGCUAGCGUUGUUCGGAAUUACUGGGCGUAACGCGCUCGUAUGCGGAUCGGGUCACUUAGGGGUGAAUCCCGGCUCUCAACCCCGGAACUGCCUCUCUACUGCCGAUCUAGAGUUCGAGAGAGGGACUGGAAUUCCCACCGUAGAGCUGAAUUCAUAUAUAUCCAGAAGAACACCACUGAGAACGCGCUCACUGGCUCGAUACUGACGUAAGGUCGAACGUGAUAUCAACAGGAUUAAUACCUGGAGGCCACGCCGGCACGAUCGAGGUACCGUUGGCACUUUACCUGUCGCGGGGCUUUCAUCCCAUCAACUUCCCGCC
Molecule: ribosomal RNA, 642 nt
Filed under: Nitratireductor kimnyeongensis
Lineage: Bacteria; Pseudomonadati; Pseudomonadota; Alphaproteobacteria; Hyphomicrobiales; Phyllobacteriaceae
Description: bacterial SSU rRNA
Rfam family: Bacterial small subunit ribosomal RNA
Source: RNAcentral